This is a long non-coding RNA of Penaeus chinensis, 555 nucleotides long. RefSeq lists it as uncharacterized. The transcript has 4 exons. Lineage: Eukaryota; Metazoa; Arthropoda; Malacostraca; Decapoda; Penaeidae. The record is from RefSeq and is a predicted model, not a curated record.
GCCAGAUGAUGCUCAAGCCUGACUGAUAGCUGGCUGGGGUGGGCUGGCUUAGCGGGAGGCUUGGGAGGCACUGCUCUCAUGACCUGACAUGGAAAAUAGAGUUCAGUGAAUAGAAAGAGAAAAGAAAAAAAUCAAUAGAAGAAACAACACCCACUACGCUUGGAGCAAUCAACUGCACGAGAGCAUGAUGCCAUGGGGGGCGCUGGAUGUUCCAAACCUGCGAAAUGACAGACUAAAAUAUGUGGAGAAAACAAACUUUUUCCAAAACUUAUACUAUGAGAAAUGAUUACACCUCUAAAAAACAAUAUGUAAAAUACCUGUGUGCGGUCUAAGGAAUCCCAUAAGCCAGACUGUUUGACGCCAGGACCAAUAAGGUUGGACAAGGCUGGCGUCCAAUCCACACAUCUCAUCACAAUCUAUACUGGUUAAUCAGCAGCAAUAGACAAAAAAGAAAAAAAAGAAAGAAAAGGAACAGACACACAUAAUCUUCACUGACAAGGAACAAAGUCGUACCUGAGCAAUGGCAGCGUACACAGUGUGAGGAAUCAGAGGAGG